RNAcentral lists this ribosomal RNA (626 nucleotides) under Fusarium sp. BBA 69700. Its description in RNAcentral is "eukaryotic LSU rRNA". It matches the Rfam family "Eukaryotic large subunit ribosomal RNA", at positions 1 to 648 of the family's 3401-position model. The record is from RNAcentral. Lineage: Eukaryota; Fungi; Ascomycota; Sordariomycetes; Hypocreales; Nectriaceae. RNAcentral also lists the same sequence under 1 other name.
GUUGACCUCGGAUCAGGUAGGAAUACCCGCUGAACUUAAGCAUAUCAAUAAGCGGAGGAAAAGAAACCAACAGGGAUUGCCCUAGUAACGGCGAGUGAAGCGGCAACAGCUCAAAUUUGAAAUCUGGCUCUCGGGCCCGAGUUGUAAUUUGUAGAGGAUGCUUUUGAUGCGGUGCCUUCCGAGUUCCCUGGAACGGGACGCCAUAGAGGGUGAGAGCCCCGUCUGGUUGGAUGCCAAAUCUCUGUAAAGCUCCUUCGACGAGUCGAGUAGUUUGGGAAUGCUGCUCUAAAUGGGAGGUAUAUGUCUUCUAAAGCUAAAUACCGGCCAGAGACCGAUAGCGCACAAGUAGAGUGAUCGAAAGAUGAAAAGCACUUUGAAAAGAGAGUUAAAAAGUACGUGAAAUUGUUGAAAGGGAAGCGUUUAUGACCAGACUUGGGCUUGGUUAAUCAUCUGGGGUUCUCCCCAGUGCACUUUUCCAGUCCAGGCCAGCAUCAGUUUUCCCCGGGGGACAAAGGCUUCGGGAAUGUGGCUCUCUUCGGGGAGUGUUAUAGCCCGUUGCGUAAUACCCUGGGGGGGACUGAGGUUCGCGCUUCUGCAAGGAUGCUGGCGUAAUGGUCAUCAACGAC